RNAcentral lists this unclassified non-coding RNA (328 nucleotides) under soil metagenome. RNAcentral describes it as "partial contains 5.8S ribosomal RNA, internal transcribed spacer 2, and large subunit ribosomal RNA". The stretch from base 1 to 120 matches the Rfam family "5.8S ribosomal RNA", at positions 35 to 154 of the family's 154-position model. The record is from RNAcentral.
GAUGAAGAACGUAGCGAAAUGCGAUAAGUAAUGUGAAUUGCAGAAUUCAGUGAAUCAUCGAAUCUUUGAACGCACAUUGCGCCCUCUGGUAUUCCGGGGGGCAUGCCUGUUCGAGCGUCAUUAUAACCACUCAAGCUCUCGCUUGGUAUUGGGGUUCGCGGUUUCGCGGCCCCUAAAAUCAGUGGCGGUGCCUGUCGGCUCUACGCGUAGUAAUACUUCUCGCGAUUGAGUUCGAUAGGUCUACUUGCCAGUAACCCCCAAUUUUUACAGGUUGACCUCGGAUCAGGUAGGGAUACCCGCUGAACUUAAGCAUAUCAAUAAGCGAGGA